AGCAGCGGGCCCAGCCUGCCCCGCAACAGCCAGCGCGGCUCCUGGAGGGAAACGAGCAAGGCGGCCCCGCAGGUGUGGCGCGGCCCUGGGAGGGCGCGUGCGAGCGCUGCUUUGUUUGGUGCCCGCACAGCCCCGGGCUCCAGGCCUGAGCGCCAACCUUCCCGAGCUGAGUCACGGCUGCAGAGCCCGAGGGCGGCCAUACGGCCCCGCCCGGAAGGAUGAGGCCCCUUCCUGAAGCUGGCGAGUCCGAUGCGGUGGCAGGGACAAAAGCCAGGGGAAGGUGGCUUCUAUUCUACAAAGCCCUUUAGGGAAGGGGGGAGUCAGGCCGCCCUCACCCAGUGCAGGUCCGUCACGAUGGUCACCCAGAGCACUCACGCAGAAAGCCAGCUUGCAGCCGCCAGCCCUGAGGAUGCCGCCCCCAAAGGGCUCAUUGCUCUAAUCACCCGUCCAGGGGCUUGAGGCAAAGCUCCAAGACAGACCUGUAGCAGCAUGGCCCAAAAAGUUCCUCUGCUGCCCCAGUCCCAUACCUGCCUGAGGUACGGGGGUUCAGGCUGAGUCGGCUGACCUGGAGUCAUCUGGAAGCCUUGUCAGAAAUGCAGAUUCUGCAGUGCUGUUCCCAGAGGAUGAGAUUCAGCAGAACUGGGUGUUGGAUAUUAUAUGAAGAGAUUUGCAAGUGUUAUUUUACGUAAUUCGCACUUUACAAAGGAGGAAACUGCAGCGCAGAUUAAGCUCACUAAGACAAUAAUCAAAGACCUAUAAAACCGUGAACUUCUUGAGACAAUGAGGAUGCCUCUAACAGACUUGGGAAGAAAUCCUGCACAAAGAGCUGGGGAAAAAAGGGAAGAAAAGCACAUAGAAUACUCCUUCAAGGCAGGCAUUGGCAGACCUUCCACCGUGCACCAGGCUCUGUGCUAAGAUUCACCCUGGAGUAACCCUGCCUCUGGGGGUGAAGUUGCUAUAUCUGGCUGCGUUUUGGCCAGCCGACCCUCUAGGCAGCCCUUAAUUCUUGCUUCUCAAACUUACUUCCAAGGACAGAGAAAGAUGACCACUGCCCUCACCCCACUAAAGAAGCCCCAGCACUUAGCAAGCACUUAUGGCCCAGAGCAGACUGUCUCUACUUCAUUUCACUCUCCACACCCAGACUUGGACCACACUUGGAAAAGAACCAGCCAGUCCUGGAGGCUGCAUAUUGUGGAUAGCAGGACUCCACUCACAUCUCAAAGCUCCUCCCUGCCCAUUCCCAUGGUCCCUCCAGCCCUUGGGCAAUACUACCAAUAAGAAGGAGAAAUGAGCUGGAUUUCACUUCCUUUGGAGCAGGUGUGAAUAAACAGAAUUGUCCCAAACUUGGGCAGCAGAAGUGGGGAAAGAAGAAAGGCAACCGGCCAGGCGCGGUGGCUCACGCCUGUAAUCCCAGCAUUUGGGGAGGCCCAGGCGGAUCACCUGAGGUCAGGAGUUUGAGAACAACCUGGCCAACAUGGUGAAACCCAUCUCUACUAAAAAAAUACAAAAAUUAGCCAGGCAUGAUAGCUACUUGGGAGGCUGAGGCAGGAGAAUCUCUUGAACCCGAGAGGUGGAGUUUGCAGUGAGCUGAGAUCAUGCCACUGCACUCCAGCCUUGGUGACAGAGCGAGACUCCAUCUCAAAAAAAAAAAAAAAAAAAAAAAACCAGAAGAGAGCAACCAAUACUUAUGAAGCCUCUGAUAGUUACUCAAAUGCCACCAGUAAACCCACGAGACGCACAGGCUGGGAUUGGUAAGGCAACUUGCCCAAGGUCACCCAGCUAGAAAAGGCUAGAGGCGGGCGAGAGGGGAGCUCCAGAACCACCCCAAACACACUGCCUCCCCCACACCACUGCCUCCCCAACACUGCCUUCAAGAAAGAGAAAUCGAAGGACCUGGACAAUUUGCAAGCUGACUGCUCAGCUUCUGGACUCAUCCACCGCGUUUGUCAGAAGUCCCUGCAGAUGCCCGGCCACUAUGCCAGUACUCUCGUCUCGGGCUGCACUUGGAACUGGGUGGACAGCUGUAGAAGGACUACUAGUGCCUGGGCCCACCCCUUCUCCCCACCCCCAGUGCCUCACUUAACUGUCUGAGAUUCAGCCUAAGCACUGGGCUUUUAAAGUUCCCAGGUGACCGUUGCCCUCCGGGAUCCAUAUUCUCUUCAUCUGUAAGAUGGGGCUAAUGAUGUCUCCCAAACAGGGUGGUUGUAAGGAUGAAGUGUGAGGGGCCUAGGAAGGGAGGCCUGGAAAGAGGGAAGAGGACUGCUCAUCGCUGGGCUGAGGCUGCAGCCACCCUGUGCUAGGUGCUGUGCUACAGCCUGGGUCACUCUGCCAGGACCUAUAGGCUCCCUGCUUGGGGCAUGGUGCCCUGACCCUCGGCUCACGUCUGCCCAGAUCCUUACAGCUGAUGGAACCCUUUGCUCCAAGAGACGAGGUUGGCACACCGUGGUCUCAAUAAAUGUUUGUCGAGUAAACAGAUGAAGAUGUCCUUCGAUCUUCACAACAGUUUUGAGAAGCAAAAUGAAAAAGGACUCUCCCUUGACCCAAUAGAAAGGGAAGUUUGGACUCACCUCAAGGUGCUGUCACUAGCCAUGUGUUCCAGAGCAGCAACAUAACUUCUCAAAGCCUCUGUCACUUCAUUUGUAAAGCAGGACUUUGUCACUAUUGCUAGGUUAUAGGACUAUCCUGAAGAGCUGCUGAGACAACAUACGGGGGAAACAUUUCUAUAAAUUAUUUUUUGAUGAGGGAAUUGAGGUUUAUAGGGGUUAAGUGACUUGCCCACAGUCAAUCAGUAAAUUGUGAAGCCAAAACUUAAACUCGGGACCAGAGAGUUCCUGGGCGUGAGACAAACAAACGAACAAACAACAACAACAACAACAAAACCCCAAAACACUCAAAUAAUAUGUGGUUGCAGAGAAGGGAUGCAGAUAUUUGAAGAACAGACCUGAGGCUGUGUCAGCCCCCAAGGCACAUCUGAUGGGGAGUGUGUUGAGUUGAACUUUGCAGGAGGGAAGGGCUAGGCCUUUGGUAAAGUUUUUUUUUUUUUUUUUUUUUUUUUGAGACAGGGUCUCCCUCUAUCACCCAGGCUGGAGUGCAGUGGCACCAUCAC
Molecule: long non-coding RNA, 3106 nt
Filed under: Homo sapiens (human)
Lineage: Eukaryota; Metazoa; Chordata; Mammalia; Primates; Hominidae
Description: HSALNT0348745
Source: RNAcentral